Molecule: ribosomal RNA, 253 nt
Filed under: uncultured bacterium
Lineage: Bacteria
Description: partial 16S ribosomal RNA
Rfam family: Bacterial small subunit ribosomal RNA
Source: RNAcentral
UACGGGGGGGGUAAGCGUUGUUCGGAAUUACUGGGCGUAAAGCGUGCGUAGGUGGUUUGUUAAGUCUGAUGUGAAAGCCCUGGGCUCAACCUGGGAAUGGCAUUGGAUACUGGCGAGCUAGAGUGCGGUAGAGGGUAGUGGAAUUCCCGGUGUAGCAGUGAAAUGCGUAGAGAUCGGGAGGAACAUCUGUGGCGAAGGCGACUACCUGGACCAGCACUGACACUGAGGCACGAAAGCGUGGGGAGCAAACAGG